GGCGCCCUACGGGGCGCAGCAGUGGGGAAUAUUGGGCAAUGGGCGCAAGCCUGACCCAGCAACGCCGCGUGAAGGAAGAAGGCUUUCGGGUUGUAAACUUCUUUUCUGAGGGACGAAGAAAGUGACGGUACCUGAGGAGUAAGCCACGGCUAACUACGUGCCAGCAGCCGCGGUAAUACGUAGGUGGCAAGCGUUAUCCGGAUUUACUGGGUGUAAAGGGCGUGUAGGCGGGACUGCAAGUCAGAUGUGAAAACCACGGGCUCAACCUGUGGCCUGCAUUUGAAAC
RNAcentral lists this ribosomal RNA (286 nucleotides) under uncultured bacterium. Its description in RNAcentral is "partial 16S ribosomal RNA". It matches the Rfam family "Bacterial small subunit ribosomal RNA", at positions 333 to 633 of the family's 1533-position model. The record is from RNAcentral.